This 69-nucleotide transfer RNA is filed under the name Rattus norvegicus (Norway rat). It matches the Rfam family "tRNA". From Rfam's summary of the family: Transfer RNA (tRNA) molecules are approximately 80 nucleotides in length. Lineage: Eukaryota; Metazoa; Chordata; Mammalia; Rodentia; Muridae. The record is from Rfam by way of RNAcentral.
GGGGAUUUAGCUCAGUGGUAGAGCGCUUGCCUAGCAAGCACAAGGGCCUGGGUUCGGUCCUCAGCUCCA